CGAGUGGCGGACGGGUGAGUAAUGCUUGGGAACUUGCCUUUGCGAGGGGGAUAACAGUUGGAAACGACUGCUAAUACCGCAUAAUGUCUUCGGACCAAACGGGGCUUCGGCUCCGGCGCAAAGAGAGGCCCAAGUGAGAUUAGCUAGUUGGUAAGGUAACGGCUUACCAAGGCGACGAUCUCUAGCUGUUCUGAGAGGAAGAUCAGCCACACUGGGACUGAGACACGGCCCAGACUCCUACGGGAGGCAGCAGUGGGGAAUAUUGCACAAUGGGGGAAACCCUGAUGCAGCCAUGCCGCGUGUGUGAAGAAGGCCUUCGGGUUGUAAAGCACUUUCAGUUGUGAGGAAAAGUUAGUAGUUAAUACCUGCUAGCCGUGACGUUAACAACAGAAGAAGCACCGGCUAACUCCGUGCCAGCAGCCGCGGUAAUACGGAGGGUGCGAGCGUUAAUCGGAAUUACUGGGCGUAAAGCGCACGCAGGCGGUUUGUUAAGCUAGAUGUGAAAGCCCCGGGCUCAACCUGGGAUGGUCAUUUAGAACUGGCAGACUAGAGUCUUGGAGAGGGGAGUGGAAUUCCAGGUGUAGCGGUGAAAUGCGUAGAUAUCUGGAGGAACAUCAGUGGCGAAGGCGACUCNCUGGCCAAAGACUGACGCUCAUGUGCGAAAGUGUGGGUAGCGAACAGGAUUAGAUACCCUGGUAGUCCACACCGUAAACGCUGUCUACUAGCUGUGUGUG
RNAcentral lists this ribosomal RNA (734 nucleotides) under Alteromonadales bacterium HOT2D9. Its description in RNAcentral is "bacterial SSU rRNA". It matches the Rfam family "Bacterial small subunit ribosomal RNA", at positions 92 to 828 of the family's 1533-position model. Lineage: Bacteria; Pseudomonadati; Pseudomonadota; Gammaproteobacteria; Alteromonadales. The record is from RNAcentral.